Spea bombifrons (plains spadefoot toad) is the source of this 861-nucleotide long non-coding RNA. RefSeq lists it as uncharacterized. The record is from RefSeq and is a predicted model, not a curated record. NCBI's taxonomy places the organism in Eukaryota, Metazoa, Chordata, Amphibia, Anura, Pelobatidae. The transcript has 2 exons.
UGUUGGUGGGUGGUGUAGGAGGGGGUUGCUUAAAUUAUAAGACCCUAUUUUUGGCAUAAUGGUUAAUUACUGAAUGACAUAUUUUAAAGAAUUUAAGUAUACAAUUAGAAUGUGUUAUAAAAUAGAAGGCAUGUACCACACGAUACAAUACAUCCUAUUAACAGUGAGUUUACUGUAUUUCUAGUGUGACAUUUUGUUUGUUAGCAACCACUGAAGAAGAUAUUGUACAGGGCUUAGAUUCUCUGCAUACAAAAUGAGCUCUUUAAGAUGUGGUUUUCUGUAACAGGAUGGAUUGACAUAAAAUUAAGGGUUGGGCUUUUUUUGUGAAUAUUUACUGGAUGUUUCAGUGAAAUAAAGCAGAAGUUGCCCGCAUGGUCUUUAUUAACGGUGAUCUCACUAAGAAGAGUCUAUAUUUUCGUGUGCCUGCAAAAGGAUAUCUCUGCCCAUCAUGCAACGUUACCUUCUCUAUGCUGUGGUUCUUAUUUUCUACGUUUCAGUGGUCUUGACAAAUGAUCAUCCGAUUUUGGACCAUAAUGAAAACAAAGAUAAUUCUACAGGUCCACAUAACAACGGUGAGGCUCCUGGAUCCCAAGCCUCACUGCUGGCAUUCUUGACUUUUUGCAUCUUCUACUACAUGUUGAGCAAUUAAUACUUUGGCAUGAAAAGAGAAAAGCAUGACCUUUGCUUAUCCUGAGGGCGGAGAACGAAGGGAAGAUGACAUAAUGGCCUAUUACUGAUAAUUUACAGGAAUGGUCGUUAUUUCAAUGCUGGAUAAAAACAUAAAAACAUAAAUAGACCCUAAUAUAAUUUUACUUGCUAAUGCUCAUAAGCAUAUUUUCUAAAUAAAUAUUUUUACCACCA